This 1453-nucleotide ribosomal RNA is filed under the name Pseudomonas sp. Ps170. Its description in RNAcentral is "bacterial SSU rRNA". It matches the Rfam family "Bacterial small subunit ribosomal RNA". Lineage: Bacteria; Pseudomonadati; Pseudomonadota; Gammaproteobacteria; Pseudomonadales; Pseudomonadaceae. The record is from RNAcentral.
GCGAAAAGUGGCGGCAGGCCUAACACAUGCAAGUCGAGCGGCAGCACGGGUACUUGUACCUGGUGGCUAACGGCGGACGGGUGAGUAAGGCCUAUGAAUCUGACUAGUAGUGGGGGAUAACGACCGGAUGCGGACGCUAAUUCCGAAUACGUCCUACGGGAGAAAGUGGGGGAUCUUCAGACCUCACGCUUUUACAUGAACCUGAGCCGGAUUAGCUAGUUGGUGAGGUAAUGGCUCACCCAGGCGACGAUCCAUAACUGGUCUGAGAGGAUGAUCAUUCACACUGGAACUGAAACACAGUCCAGACUCAUACCGGAGGCAGCAGUGGGGAAGGUUGAACAAUGGGCGAAAGCCUGAUCCAGCCAUGCCGCGUGUGUGAAGAAGGUCUUCGGAUUGUAAUGCACUUUAAGUUGGGAGGAAGGGCAGUUACCUAAUACGUGAUUGUUUUGACGUUACCGACAGAAUAAGCACCGGCUAACUCUGUGCCAGCAGCCGCGGUAAUACAGAGGGUGCAAGCGUUAAUGGAAAUUUCUGGGCGUAAAGCGCGCGUAGGUGGUUUAUUAAGUUUGAUGUAAAAAUCCCGGGCUCCACCUGAGAACUGCAUCCAAAAGUGGCAAGCUAGAGUAUGGUAGAGGGUGGUGGAAUUUCCUGUGUAGCCGUGAAAUGCGUAGAUAUUGGAGAGAACACCAGGGGCGAAGGGGGCCCCCUGGAAUGAUACUGACUGUGAGGUGGGAAAGCGUGGGGAACAAACAGGAUUAGAUCCCCUGGGAGUCCACCCCGUAAAAGAUGUCAACUAGCCGGUGGGAGCCUUGAGCUCUUAGUGGCGCAGGUAACGCAUUAAGUUGACCCCCUGGGGAGUACGGCCCCAAGGUUAAAACUCAAAUGAAUUGACGGGGGCCCGCCCAAGCGGUGGAGCAUUUGGUUUAAUUUGAAGCAACGGGAAGAACCUUCCCAGGCUUUGACAUUCAAGAAACUUUCUAAAAAUAGAUUGGGGCCUUUGGGAACAUUGAAACAGGUGCUGCAUGGCUUUUGUCAGUUUGGUUCUUGAAAUUUUGGGUUAAGUCCCCUAACGAGGCCAACCCUUUUCCUUAUUUACCAGCCGGUUAGGGUGGGCACUCUAAGGAGACUGCCGGUGACAAACCGGAGGAAGGUGGGGAUGACGUCAAGUCAUCAUGGCCCUUACGGCCUGGGCUACACACGUGCUACAAUGGUCGGUACAAAGGGUUGCCAACCCGCGAGGUCAAGCUAAUCCCAUAACCCCGAUCGUAGUCCGGAUCGCAGUCUGCAACUCGACUCCGUGAAGUCGGAAUCGCUAGUAAUCGAGAAUCAGAAUGUCGCGGUGAAUACGUUCCCGGGCCUUGUACACACCGCCCGUCACACCAUGGGAGUGGGUUGCACCAGAAGCAGGUAGUCUAACCUUCGGGAGGGCGGUACCACGGUGGAUUCAGGUUGG